GACGAACCGUGCGAACGUUGUUCGGAAUCACUGGGCGUAAAGGGCGCGUAGGCGGCCCGACGCGUCCGGGGUGAAAGCCUCCCGCUCAACGGGAGAAGCGCCCCGCAUACGGUCGGGCUCGAGGGGGCAAGGGGCAAGUGGAACACCCGGUGGAGCGGUGAAAUGCGUUGAGAUCGGGUGGAACUCCGGUGGCGAAGGCGACUUGCUGGGGCCCUACUGACGCUGAGGAGCGAAAGCCAGGGGAGCGAACGGG
Molecule: ribosomal RNA, 253 nt
Filed under: uncultured bacterium
Lineage: Bacteria
Description: partial 16S ribosomal RNA
Rfam family: Bacterial small subunit ribosomal RNA
Source: RNAcentral